UACGUAGGUCCCGAGCGUUGUCCGGAUUUAUUGGGCGUAAAGCGAGCGCAGGUGGUUUAUUAAGUCUGAUGUGAAAGCCUUCGGCUUAGCCGGAGUAGUGCAUUGGAAACUGGGAGACUUGAGUGCAGAAGAGGAGAGUGGAACUCCAUGUGUAGCGGUGAAAUGCGUAGAUAUAUGGAAGAACACCAGUGGCGAAAGCGGCUCUCUGGUCUGUAACUGACGCUGAGGUUCGAAAGCGUGGGUAGCAAACAGG
Molecule: ribosomal RNA, 253 nt
Filed under: uncultured bacterium
Lineage: Bacteria
Description: partial 16S ribosomal RNA
Rfam family: Bacterial small subunit ribosomal RNA
Source: RNAcentral